CCUACGGGAGGCAGCAGUGGGGAAUAUUGGGCAAUGGGCGCAAGCCUGACCCAGCAACGCCGCGUGAAGGAAGAAGGCUUUCGGGUUGUAAACUUCUUUUCUCAGGGACGAAGAAAGUGACGGUACCUGAGGAAUAAGCCACGGCUAACUUCGUGCCAGCAGCCGCGGUAAUACGUAGGUGGCAAUCGUUAUCCGGAUUUACUGGGUGUAAAGGGCGUGUAGGCGGGACUGCAAGUCAGAUGUGAAAACCACGGGCUCAACCGGUGACCUGCAUUUGAAACUGUAGUUCUUGAGUACUGGGGAGGCAGACGGAAUUCCUGGUGUAGCGGUGAAAUGCGUAGAUAUUAGGAGGAACACCAGUGGCGAAGGCGGUCUGCUGGACAGCAACUGACGCUGAGGCGCGAAAGCGUGGGGAGCAAACAGGAUUAGAUACCCUUGUAGUC
RNAcentral lists this ribosomal RNA (443 nucleotides) under uncultured bacterium. RNAcentral describes it as "partial 16S ribosomal RNA". It matches the Rfam family "Bacterial small subunit ribosomal RNA", at positions 338 to 795 of the family's 1533-position model. The record is from RNAcentral.